CAGACUCCCAAGCACCUGCCCAUCCCACUCCAUAGCCCAGCCACCCACUCUCAUGUACCAUAUGGCCAUCCCAGUAAGCAAGCCAACCACUAGAAUUUGACUGGCAUGCACCUGUGACUUACAUAAACCAGACCUCUACAUAGCCUACAUGUCUUCAUUUUGCUGAAGACUGCCCAUCAUCCUAGCCUGUUAUCUGUGAUAAAGCACACUGAAGUUAGGUUUGGAAUGCAUCCUUAUCAUGAAUGCUCUACACCUCCACCUCCAUCUCCCACAACCUAGGUAACAGCUUUGAGACUCACUAAAAGUUGGUAAGUUAUGUAAGGAAUUUCUAAAUUAAGUUUUAUACUACAUGUUAUAUGUGAUAUUAAACCACUGUAUGGUGCAUAUUACUGUAUGUAACUUACUAUGCAUAGAGUACUUACUGACAAAAUUAUUUUUUGUACAUUCCAGAACCCCCUGAAUGAUGUAGGCUAUGGGGCCACAUAAGACUUUGUCCAUCCAGGGUUACAUUGAACGACAACUUUAAACUAAAAAACCAACAUUUUUCACACAACUCCAGGUUGUUACUAACAAAUUACUACUACAAGUGUCAUCAAGGGAUAACUACAAGUAGAAGCACCAUUUUUGGAUGGAAAAAACCCUUCAGGAAAGUAUACGUAUCACAUGUAACAUGUAGUGUAACAAAGUAUGAACAGUAAGGUUUUUACAUACAGUAGUAUUACAUACGUACAUAACUUUUUUUACAGGAAUUUCCAACCAAGUUUGAUUAUGUACAUACAUGUUAUAAACCACUGUACGUAUGGUUACUGUAUGUAACUUACUAAACAUACAUAACAUGACUUAACUUUGAUACUUUUUUGGUACAUUCCAGAAAACCAGGACCCCCUCCAUGAUGCAGGCUAUGGGGCCACAUAAAACUUUGUCCAGGGUUACUACAUAACAUAAAGAACCCCCUGAAUGAUGUAGGCUAUGGGGCCACAUAAGACUUUGUGCAUCCAGGGUUACAUAGCACGCCAACUUUAAACUAAAG
Long non-coding RNA from Macrobrachium nipponense, 1030 nucleotides. RefSeq lists it as uncharacterized. NCBI's taxonomy places the organism in Eukaryota, Metazoa, Arthropoda, Malacostraca, Decapoda, Palaemonidae. The record is from RefSeq and is a predicted model, not a curated record. The transcript has 5 exons.